CAGGUCGGUAGUAACCAUUGAACCG
RNAcentral lists this non-coding RNA (25 nucleotides) under Drosophila melanogaster (fruit fly). Lineage: Eukaryota; Metazoa; Arthropoda; Insecta; Diptera; Drosophilidae. The record is from RNAcentral.